Molecule: ribosomal RNA, 622 nt
Filed under: uncultured marine bacterium
Lineage: Bacteria
Description: bacterial SSU rRNA
Rfam family: Bacterial small subunit ribosomal RNA
Source: RNAcentral
AGUACGGCCGCAAGGUUAAAACUCAAAGGAAUCGACGGGGACCCGCACAAGCGGUGGAGCAUGUGGUUUAAUUCGAUGCAACGCGAAGAACCUUACCUGGUCUUGACAUCCUGCGAACUUUCUAGAAAUAGAUUGGUGCCUUCGGGAACGCAGUGACAGGUGCUGCAUGGCUGUCGUCAGCUCGUGUCGUGAGAUGUUGGGUUAAGUCCCGUAACGAGCGCAACCCCUAUCCUUAUUUGCCAGCACAUCAUGGUGGGAACUAUAAGGAGACUGCCGGUGAUAAGCCGGAGGAAGGCGGGGACGACGUCAAGUCAUCAUGGCCCUUACGACCAGGGCUACACACGUGCUACAAUGGGAAGGACAAAGAGCCGCGAAGCCGCGAGGUGUAGCUAAUCUCAUAAACCUUUUCGUAGUCCGGAUUGGAGUCUGCAACUCGACUCCAUGAAGUCGGAAUCGCUAGUAAUCGUAGAUCAGAAUGCUACGGUGAAUACGUUCCCGGGUCUUGUACACACCGCCCGUCAUACCAUGGGAGUGGGUUGCACCAGAAGCGGCUAGUCUAACUUAGUGAGGACGGUCACCACGGUGUGAUUCAUGACUGGGGUAAAGUCGUAACAAGGUAACC